This 476-nucleotide ribosomal RNA is filed under the name uncultured bacterium. RNAcentral's name for it is "SSU rRNA". It matches the Rfam family "Bacterial small subunit ribosomal RNA", at positions 26 to 518 of the family's 1533-position model. The record is from RNAcentral.
AGAAUCAACGCUGGCGGCGUGCCUAACACAUGCAAGUCGAACGAGAAAGGGGAGCAAUCCCUGAGUACAGUGGCGACCGGGUGAGUAACACGUGACCAACCUACCUUCGAGUGGGGGAUAACUCCGGGAAACCGGGGCUAAUACCGCAUAACAUCUUUGGAAUGCAAAUUCCGUUGAUCAAAGGAGCAAUUCGCUUGAAGAGGGGGUCGCGGCUGAUUAGCUAGUUGGCGGGGUAAUGGCCCACCAAGGCGAAGAUCGGUAUCCGGCCUGAGAGGGCGCACGGACACACUGGAACUGAAACACGGUCCAGACUCCUACGGGAGGCAGCAGUGGGGAAUUUUGCGCAAUGGGGGAAACCCUGACGCAGCAACGCCGCGUGGAGGAUGAAGUCCCUUGGGACGUAAACUCCUUUCGACCAAGACGAUAAUGACGGUACUGGUGGAAGAAGCACCGGCUAACUCUGUGCCAGCAGCCGC